RNAcentral lists this long non-coding RNA (1401 nucleotides) under Triticum aestivum (bread wheat). RNAcentral describes it as "long non-coding RNA (TAES_LNC021043)". Lineage: Eukaryota; Viridiplantae; Streptophyta; Magnoliopsida; Poales; Poaceae. The record is from RNAcentral.
UUUGUUCAGAUGUUGCGGAAAUAUUGUGAGUAUAGAAAUAAGACAAAUAUGACAUAUAGUACACUAAAUGACGCCUUGAAUUUCAUAAAAGUCUGUUGGCCAACUAAUCAACAACGUAAUUCUAAAAUCAACCAAGAAUUCUACCCUGCACUCAAAUCUUCAGUUGACCAAAUGAUAUAUAUCAAGAUGAGAAUAAUGUAACAUGAUGCAAAAAAAGAAGAUGGAACCAAUAUGCUACAGGAAGUUACUGAAACAACAAAGCAAACAUGAAUUAUAUCACCUAGAGUGGUCAUCAACAGUGGCAACAGCUUUUCCUUCAGCGCACUUGGUAAUAUAGCAGGCAAUCUAGACACUCCAUGAUUAGUUUCCAAAUCCAUAAUUUCAAUGAGAGAAAACAAGAAUGGAAGCUACAGUACCUAUGGGCAGGCUGACGGGUACUGCAAAUUGUGUCAAAAAAUUGUACUCUCUCCUUGUAUUAAUUAGUAUGUUAUUUCUGUAAGCAAAUUAGGCAGCGGCAGUGCCUCAAUAAGAAUAAUUAUUCCAUUCAAAAAUAAUAAGAAGAAUCAUUAUACAAGACACAAUGGCAUACAUGGCAGCUUGAAAAUCACGGCUCACAAGAUUGAGAGAUAAGACAAAUAUGACAUAUAGUACACUAAAUGACGCCUUGAAUUUCAUCAAAGUCUGUUGGCCAACUAAUCAACAACGAAAUUCUAAAAUCAACCAAGAAUUCUACCCUGCACUCAAAUCUUUAGUUGACCAAAUGAUAUAUAUCAAGAUGAGAAUAAUGUACCAUGAUGCAAAAAAAAGAUGGAACCAAUAUGCUACAGGAAGCUGCUGAAACAACAAAGCAAACAUGAAUUAUAUCACCUGGAGUGGUCAUCAAUAGUGGCAGCAGCUUUUCCUUCAACGCACUGGUAAUAUAGCAGGCAAUCUAGACACUCCAUGAUUAGUUUCCGAAUCCAUAAUUUCAAUGAGAGAAAACAAGAAUGGAAGCUACAGUACCUAUGGGCAGGCUCACGGGUACUGCAGAUUGUGUCAAAAAAUCAUACUCUCUCCCUGUAUUAAUUAGCAUGUUAUUUCUAUAAGCAAAUUAGGCAGCGGCAGUGCCUCAAUAAGAAUAAUUAUGCUAUUCAAAAAUAAUAAGAAGAAUCAUUAUACAGGACACAAUGGCAUACGUGGCAGCAUGAAAAUCACGGCUCACAAGAUUGAGAGAUAUACAUACCAAGAAAAAGACAAAGAAAAGCUGAAGAACCACACCUGCAUUUCCCAAGCACGACACAGAUAGACGAACGCCCUUGAGGUCGGGGCAGAGCAAGAAUCCUACCAGGCCAGAGGCAUGAUCCAAAUCAGGGACGCAUGCGUGCAUACUGACAUCUCCACAAGCUUGUCCGUGCAACCGCA